Molecule: ribosomal RNA, 1517 nt
Filed under: uncultured bacterium
Lineage: Bacteria
Description: bacterial SSU rRNA
Rfam family: Bacterial small subunit ribosomal RNA
Source: RNAcentral
GGUAGAGAUCUUUCGGGAUCUUGAGAGCGGCGUACUGGUGCGGAACACGUGUGCAACCUGCCUUUAUCAGGGGGAUAGCCUUUCGAAAGGAAGAUUAAUACCCCAUAAUAUAUUGAGUGGCAUCACUUGAUAUUGAAAACCCCGGUGGAUAGAGAUGGGCACGCGCAAGAUUAGAUAGUUGGUGAGGUAACGGCUCACCAAGUCUACGAUCUUUAAGGGGCCUGAGAGGGUGAUCCCCCACACUGGUACUGAGACACGGACCAGACUCCUACGGGAGGCAGCAGUGAGGAAUAUUGGACAAUGGGUGCGAGCCUGAUCCAGCCAUCCCGCGUGAAGGACGACGACCCUAUGGGUUGUAAACUUCUUUUGUAUAGGGAUAAACCUACUCUCGUGAGAGUAGCUGAAGGUACUAUACGAAUAAGCACCGGCUAACUCCGUGCCAGCAGCCGCGGUAAUACGGAGGGUGCAAGCGUUAUCCGGAUUUAUUGAGUUUAAAGGGUCCGUAGGCGGAUCUGUAAGUCAGUGGUGAAAUCUCACAGCUUAACUGUGAAACUGCCAUUGAUACUGCAGGUCUUGAGUGUUGUUGAAGUGGUGAAAUCUCACAGCUUAACUGUGAAACUGCCAUUGAUACUGCAGGUCUUGAGUGUUGUUGAAGUAGCUGGAAUAAGUAGUGUAGCGGUGAAAUGCAUAGAUAUUACUUAGAACACCAAUUGCGAAGGCAGGUUACUAAGCAACAACUGACGCUGAUGGACGAAAGCGUGGGGAGCGAACAGGAUUAGAUACCCUGGUAGUCCACGCCGUAAACGAUGCUAACUCGUUUUUGGGCUUUCGGGUUCAGAGACUAAGCGAAAGUGAUAAGUUAGCCACCUGGGGAGUACGAACGCAAGUUUGAAACUCAAAGGAAUUGACGGGGGCCCGCACAAGCGGUGGAUUAUGUGGUUUAAUUCGAUGAUACGCGAGGAACCUUACCAAGGCUUAAAUGGGAAAUGACAGGCUUANGCUUUAAGUGUGUGANAUGNCUCGGAGUUAGCAAAUAUGGCUUUUCUUCNGANAUUNUUCAUGGUGCUGCAUGGUUGUCGUCAGCUCGUGCCGUGAGGUGUUAGGUUAAGUCCUGCAACGAGCGCAACCCCUGUCACUAGUUGCCAUCAUUAAGUUGGGGACUCUAGUGAGACUGCCUACGCAAGUAGAGAGGAAGGUGGGGAUGACGUCAAAUCAUCACGGCCCUUACGCCUUGGGCCACACACGUAAUACAAUGGCCGGUACAGAGGGCAGCUACACUGCGAAGUGAUGCAAAUCUCGAAAGCCGGUCUCAGUUCGGAUUGGAGUCUGCAACUCGACUCUAUGAAGCUGGAAUCGCUAGUAAUCGCGCAUCAGCCAUGGCGCGGUGAAUACGUUCCCGGGCCUUGUACACACCGCCCGUCAAGCCAUGGAAGUCUGGGGUACCUGAAGUCGGUGACCGUAACAGGAGCUGCCUAGGGUAAAACAGGUAACUAGGGCUAAGUCGUAACAAGGUAGCC